GGCUCAGGAUGAACGCUAGCGGCAGGCCUAAUACGAUGCAAGUCGAACGGCAGCACGGACUUCGGUCUGGUGGCGAGUCGGCGAACGGGUGAGUAAUAUAUCGGAACGUGCCCAGUCGUGGGGGAUAACGUAGUGAAAAUUACGCUAAUACCGCAUACGAUCUAAGGAUGAAAGCGGGGGAUCGCAAGACCUCGCGCGAUUGGAGCGGCCGAUAUCAGAUUAGGUAGUUGGUGAGGUAAAGGCUCACCAAGCCAACGAUCUGUAGCUGGUCUGAGAGGACGACCAGCCACACUGGAACUGAGACACGGUCCAGACUCCUACGGGAGGCAGCAGUGGGGAAUUUUGGACAAUGGACGCAAGUCUGAUCCAGCCAUUCCGCGUGCAGGAUGAAGGCCCUCGGGUUGUAAACUGCUUUUGUACGGAACGAAAAGGUUUCUAUUAAUACUAGGAGCUCAUGACGGUACCGUAAGAAUAAGCACCGGCUAACUACGUG
This 493-nucleotide ribosomal RNA is filed under the name uncultured bacterium. RNAcentral's name for it is "bacterial SSU rRNA". It matches the Rfam family "Bacterial small subunit ribosomal RNA", at positions 21 to 507 of the family's 1533-position model. The record is from RNAcentral.